UACAGAGGGGGCCAGCGUUAUUCGGAAUUAUUGGGCGUAAAGGGCGCGUAGGCGGCUUUGCGUGUCUUUCGUGAAAUCCCUCGGCUCAACUGAGGACGUGCGGAAGAAACUGCAGGGCUGGAGUCCGGGAGAGGAGGGUGGAAUUCCCAGUGUAGCGGUGAAAUGCGUAGAUAUCAGGAAGAACACCCGUGGCGAAGGCGGCUCUCUGGGACGGUACUGACGCUGAGACGCGAAAGCGUGGGGAGCGAACAGG
RNAcentral lists this ribosomal RNA (253 nucleotides) under uncultured bacterium. RNAcentral describes it as "partial 16S ribosomal RNA". It matches the Rfam family "Bacterial small subunit ribosomal RNA", at positions 524 to 776 of the family's 1533-position model. The record is from RNAcentral.